UUGUGGGCUCAGAUCAAGUGUAGCGUCUAUGCUUACCCGGCAAGGGAAACACUGUGACCACUGAGGCGGUCUUCCUAGUUGCACCUGGGGAAUAACGCUCCGCUGGC
Gavialis gangeticus (Gharial) is the source of this 107-nucleotide long non-coding RNA. RefSeq lists it as uncharacterized. Lineage: Eukaryota; Metazoa; Chordata; Crocodylia; Gavialidae. The record is from RefSeq and is a predicted model, not a curated record. The transcript has 3 exons.